AAAUAAAAAAGAUAAAAUAGGUGUAAUUCCAUUUCCAUCUCAUGGUCAUCUUUGAUUGAGAUCUGUUUUGACUUCCAUCAACUCCACUUUACCAACACACACACACACACACACACACACACACAAAAAUUCACAUAUACAUACAUACAUACAAAACAAAUAACAAAAGUACUAAUAACCCUUCUUUCCAAAUUAUUGAUUCUUGAGUUUUCUGACAAAAGAGAUAUGGAUGGUUCAGGGCAGCAACGAGAUACGAUGAUGUCUGAUGCAACACCACCACCUGCGCCGCCGCAUGCGGUGGGGGGAACAGAGAAUAUCCCGGCGACGUUGAGUCACGGUGGGAGGUUUAUUCAAUAUAAUAUAUUUGGUAACGUAUUUGAAGUAACUGCUAAGUAUAAACCUCCUAUUAUGCCUAUUGGUAAAGGUGCUUAUGGUAUUGUUUGUUCUGCUUUGAACUCGGAGACAAAUGAGCAUGUAGCGAUAAAGAAAAUUGCUAAUGCUUUUGAUAACAAGAUUGAUGCCAAGAGGACUUUGAGAGAGAUCAAGCUUCUUCGGCAUAUGGAUCAUGAAAACAUUGUUGCGAUUAGAGAUAUAAUUCCACCACCACAGAGAGAAGCCUUUAAUGAUGUUUAUAUUGCGUAUGAGCUUAUGGAUACUGAUCUCCAUCAAAUUAUUCGCUCGAAUCAGGGUUUAUCUGAGGAGCACUGCCAGUAUUUCUUGUAUCAGAUCCUCCGUGGGUUGAAAUACAUACAUUCUGCAAAUGUUUUGCACAGAGACUUAAAGCCUAGCAAUCUUCUCUUGAAUGCCAACUGUGAUUUAAAGAUAUGUGAUUUUGGGCUAGCUCGUGUCACUUCUGAAACUGACUUUAUGACCGAAUAUGUUGUGACAAGAUGGUAUCGUCCACCUGAGCUGUUGUUAAAUUCAUCUGACUAUACCGCAGCAAUUGAUGUAUGGUCAGUAGGUUGCAUCUUCAUGGAACUGAUGGACAGAAAACCCCUAUUCCCUGGCAGAGAUCAUGUACACCAGCUGCGUCUUAUUAUGGAGUUGAUUGGUACUCCUUCAGAGGCUGAAAUGGAGUUUUUAAAUGAGAAUGCAAAACGAUACAUCCGACAACUUCCUCUUUACCGUCGACAGUCAUUUACUGAAAAGUUCCCACAUGUAAACCCAGCUGCUAUUGAUCUUGUCGAGAAAAUGUUGACAUUUGAUCCGAGAACGAGAAUAACAGCAGAAGGCAACAAUCCUGGAAGUUAGAGAUAUUCGAGGAUGGAACCUCAGCUUUAGGAGAAUGCUCAAUGAUUGUUAAGUGGAAAGGUUGAUAGGAUUUUACAACACCCUUGAACAGUUCAAGGAUUACUCCAAUGAGGUGGACAGUUUAGUUUGGUUGAAGGAUAAGCAAGGAAGAUUCUCAGUCAAAUCUGCCUAUAAAUGCAUCAGUCCUCAACUUGGUUUCUGGCCAUGGAAGAUGAUUCGGAAAGUUAAAAUUCCAUACAAAGUGGCAUGUUUUACAUGGUUAGUGGCCAAACAAGCUGUUUUAACACAAGAUAAUGUGAUGAAAAGGGGUUUACAACUUUGCUCCAGGUGUUUUUUUUUUUUUUUUUUGGUGAAACUGAAGCUGAAACAAGAAAUCAUCUUUUCCUUCAUUGUAAAGUGACUGAACAACUUUGUCAGUUCUUCAUCAAUUUGAGAGGGCUUAAUUGGACUAUGCCAAGGAAUACAGUUGAAGUUGUGGCAUGCUGGAACAGAGAUGGUAAUUUGUCAGGCCAUAGAGGGAGAUGGAAGAUUGUUCCAGUUUGCAUCUGGUGGACAAUAUGGAAGGAGAGGAAUCAAAGAUGCUUUAAAGAUAAAAGUAUCACCUUCCAGAAAUUGAAGAUGAAUUGUCUAGUGUUUUUGUAUUUUUGGUGUAGUCAUGAAUUCCCCUAAGAGUCAGAGGAUAUAACUAGUAUUCUAGAUUGUUUAUAGGGCUAUAGGUGGUAGGUUUUGCUUUCUGUAACUACUACUUGUAAUUACUACUGAAAGUACACCUUUGGUGUAUCUUCAAAAAAAAAAAAAAAAAAGAAAAAAAAAAGGGAAGAUUACCAAACAAAUUAGGGAAGACAAAAAGGAAAGAAUGUGAUAACUUUCGACCUCAAGAACACAGAAUUGAAAAUAAAGAAAGGAAGUAAAGAUAGAAGCUAAACACAAGUUAAACAAAAUAGAUAACAAUGAGAUGGAUAAAAUCUAAUCACCUUCGAUUAAACGAUCAAGAACAAGCACCUAUUCUAUUUGGAUCCUCAAGAGGAUUGAUUCCUCUUGCAAACCUAAGGGCAAGGUCAGGGUAGGCAACACAGGUUUUCUACCCAUUCUACUAACUACAAGAUAACCUAAGGCUCACAAGCAUUCAUCAAUUCAUCAUUUGUCAAAGUCUAAGGAACUAAACUCUACUAUUUAUAGUAGCUAGCUAUUUAUCAUAAAAAUAGCCCUUACGUAAGUAGACUAUCGCUACAAUGCAAAUAAUGCCGGCUAGACAUGCAAUUUGGUCGUUUCUUACAAACCUUUCAUUUGAAAUCCACUUUAGCCUAUUGUGGACCUUCAAGUCUUCUUGGCUUGAUCUUCAAAAUCCCCGUGAGCUUCCAUAUCCAAGAUGAAAAUCUUGGAAGUUGUCAUUCUCCCUCCUCGAAUUUGUAGCUCCUUUAAUUAUUAUUAUCUUAUAGGUUAUCAAAAAAAAAAAAGAAAAAAUAAUUCACGAAUUCGAACCUUGCAAAACUUGGACGGAAAUAAGUACAUCACGAAACCAUCAAAAGUAAAAAAUGUACAUGGUAAAAAUGAAACAAUGAAAUGACCAUGCAUUCUUUUAAUCCUAGACUUUCCCACAUUUUCUCCAAAAGCACACUCUUGUGAUAAAGACAAGCAUCAAAACAAUCAAUAAAGAUCUUUCAUCCAAGUAAUACUCUUUCACGUGCCAUAAGAGAAUAAAAUAUAUACAAGAUGCUGUAACCAAUAUGCCUAUUAAAUGAAACUAAUAUGCCCAAAUUGGUAUUAUCAACAAAGUAGAUCAAUCCAACUCAUAAAUCAAGAACCCAAAUUGUGCAAGAUAAAGAAUCCACAUAAAAUGGUUCAUGUACCAUCUUAAUCCCGAUAUCAUUUGAAGAUGUAUCAAAGAGGACACCAUUGAAAUGUAGCUAAUAUCUACAAGAAUCAACCAUUCAACUAAGAUAUCAAGUACUUCGCUCAAAUGAAGAAAACAAUCUUGGCUCAAAUGAAGAAAACAAUCAUAAAAUGAAUCAAAGAAACUAACAAAUCUAAAUAUUAAAGCUCGUAGAUCAAUGUUAGUUUCCUUAACAAGGUGGACCAAUUUAUCUCUCAAACCACAAUUCAAAUGUACCUUCAUAAAUAUAAGGUAAGAGAAUCAACCAAGUUAAAUUUCAAAAAAAGAAUCAACCAAGUUGCUUACAACUCUUACGCACAAGUUCGUUUCCCCGGGAUAAAAACAGAUGUCAAUCUAAAAACAUCCUUGGGUUUCAAACUUAACAUCGCAAUAUAAGAAUGGCAUCAAAUAACAACAUUAAAGAACUUUUUUUAUCGUUUAAGUAAGGUUUUUUUUGGAUAUAUAGCAAAACACCAACAUUAAGGAAGUGCUGAUGAAAAAUACAUCCAAAAGAGAACUUUACAAUGUGUAUAAAAAUCUAAGAAAGUCAACAAUCGCCUCUUUAUCCAAAAAAGAAAGUCAACAAUCGCCUUUGGCUCUAAAACAUAAGUCAGAGCUUUUCUGAACCAAAAACUAAGCAAGGAUAUACACUUAAGCUUAAGAUUAAUAAUGUUGCCCUUCUUGUAUUCAAAAGCUCUAGCAUUCCUCUCUCGCUAUAUGACCCACCAAAUAACCGCAGGAAUUGUGAGUCCACGUUGUUUUUUGGCACACACCAUUUCAAGCCCAAAAUGAUUAAAAAGAGAUGUCAAAUCUGUUGGGUAAACUUGCAAUCUAAGAAGAGGCGAUUGAGUUAUUCCGCCUCCUCUUCACAAAGAUAGCAUCAAUGUUGUCAAAAGCGAAAAGCGCUAAAGCGCUGUUGGAGCUUAAAGUGCAAAGCACAAUUAAAGCAGGGGCUUCACUGAAUAAAGCGCACUAUGAAGACUAUAUAUAUGUGUGUGUAUAAUAUUUAGAGAACAUAAUAGACACAUAAAUGGUAAAUCUAUAUUGCUUAUAAUGAAGUAUAAUUUCAUCAAAUCAUCAUCUUAAGUCUUAACCACUGAAAUCAAAAGCGAGGCACACAAGCACUUCACCGCUCCGCGUGACCUCAAGCGAGGCGCACGUAUCAGAGGGCCCUUUACAAUUCUUUUUUUAAAUUAUAGGUUAGUCUGUCACAAUUUCCUAGACCAUAUUUAUGGCAAAUAUCCAGGGAAAUAUGGAAAAAUUAAUUAAGGGAGCAAAUCAGAGUUCCCAAAAGAAUAAAAAAGAGAAGAUCGACGGAAUUAUAAGAAGGCAAGAGGAGCUGAAGCAAUGCAACAGAAAAAGACAAAUUCAAAUAAACCAGGGACAACUGCAGCGGAAUAAGCCUUUAUCACAGUUGAAGACGCACUUGCACAUCCUUACCUAACAUCGCUCCAUGAUAUUAGUGACGAGCCCAUUUGUGUGACUCCUUUUAGCUUCGACUUUGAACAGCAUGCCCUUACGGAGGAACAGAUGAAGGAGCUGAUUUACAGGGAGUCCAUUGCAUUUAAUCCUGAAUACCAGCACAUGUGAAUAAUCGCUGGUAGAUUGUUGUCGGUC
This is an RNA transcript of Lycium ferocissimum, 4741 nucleotides long. It is a transcript of the gene named mitogen-activated protein kinase homolog NTF4, with no coding region annotated. The record is from RefSeq and is a predicted model, not a curated record. NCBI's taxonomy places the organism in Eukaryota, Viridiplantae, Streptophyta, Magnoliopsida, Solanales, Solanaceae. The transcript has 7 exons.